Molecule: non-coding RNA, 22 nt
Filed under: Arabidopsis thaliana (thale cress)
Lineage: Eukaryota; Viridiplantae; Streptophyta; Magnoliopsida; Brassicales; Brassicaceae
Source: RNAcentral
UGUGACGUCAGGUGAAAACCAG